Molecule: ribosomal RNA, 847 nt
Filed under: marine metagenome
Description: bacterial SSU rRNA
Rfam family: Bacterial small subunit ribosomal RNA
Source: RNAcentral
UUCCCGGUGUAGCGGUGAAAUGCGUAGAUAUCGGGAAGAACACCAGUGGCGAAGGCGCUCUGCUGGGCCAUUACUGACGCUCAUGGACGAAAGCCAGGGGAGCGAAAGGGAUUAGAUACCCCUGUAGUCCUGGCCGUAAACGAUGAACACUAGGUGUCGGGGGAAUCGACCCCUUCGGUGUCGUAGCUAACGCGUUAAGUGUUCCGCCUGGGGAGUACGCACGCAAGUGUGAAACUCAAAGGAAUUGACGGGGGCCCGCACAAGCGGUGGAGUAUGUGGUUUAAUUCGAUGCAACGCGAAGAACCUUACCAGGGUUUGACAUCCUGCGAACCUCUUAGAAAUUUGAGGGUGCCUUCGGGAAUGCAGUGACAGGUGGUGCAUGGCUGUCGUCAGCUCGUGUCGUGAGAUGUUGGGUUAAGUCCCGCAACGAGCGCAACCCACGUUUUUAGUUGCCAGCAUUUAGUUGGGCACUCUAGAAAGACCGCCGGUGAUAAACCGGAGGAAGGUGUGGAUGACGUCAAGUCAUCAUGCCCCUUACACCCUGGGCUACACACGUACUACAAUGCUACGGACAAAGGGCAGCAAACUCGCGAGAGCUAGCAAAUCCCAUAAACCGUGGCUCAGUUCAGAUCGUAGGCUGCAACUCGCCUACGUGAAGUAGGAAUCGCUAGUAAUCGCAGGUCAGCAUACUGCGGUGAAUACGUUCCCGGGCCUUGUACACACCGCCCGUCACACCAUGGAAGUUGGCCAUGCCCGAAGUCGUUACUCCAACCCUUGUGGAGGAGGACGCCGAAGUGGGGCUAAUGACUGGGGUGAAGUCGUAACAAGGUAGCCGUACCGGAAGGUG